GGUGGCUUAGUGGUAGAGCACUUGCCUUGCAUGCAUGAAGCCCUGGGUUCGAUUCCUCAGCACCA
RNAcentral lists this transfer RNA (65 nucleotides) under Dipodomys ordii (Ord's kangaroo rat). It matches the Rfam family "tRNA". From Rfam's summary of the family: Transfer RNA (tRNA) molecules are approximately 80 nucleotides in length. Their secondary structure includes four short double-helical elements and three loops (D, anti-codon, and T loops). Lineage: Eukaryota; Metazoa; Chordata; Mammalia; Rodentia; Heteromyidae. The record is from Rfam by way of RNAcentral.